UUAUUAUUAUUAUUAUUAUUAUUCUGAGUGUAAAGUCUAAACUAUCCCUUGAUUCUACAUUUUCUUUCUCACAAUUUCCAGCUUUCAGCAGAGACAUCUUUUAACAGCAUCUCCAAGUUAUGAGAAGCUUCGUGGCAUAGAUUCAAUUCAGGCUUAGCUCUUUAUUUUCCAAGGUCAGAUUCACAUCAUGUUUUAAUAUUCUAUUUUCAGCUUGGAUUUCCAUGGUCUCUGUACCCUCCUAGAAGACACAUUCAUCCUAAAUUGACUUGGUUUAUUCAGAGGCUCCUGGAUAAAGAGUCCCCCAGUGUUGGCCUCCUCUAUCUACUUCUUACACCAACCGUCCUUCCCCAGAAGCUGAACGGGACAGAAGCGGGGAGGAGAGAAACAGCGUGGCCUAGUGGAAAGGGCCCAGGCCCGGGAGCCAGAGGACCUGGGUUCCAACUCUGACUCCACCACCCAUCUGCUGUGUGAACCUGGGCAAGUUGCUUCACUUCUCUGGACCUCAAUCACUUCAUUUGUAAAAUGGGGGGAUUUUAGAAUGUGAGCCCAUUGUUGGGCAGGAACUGUCUCUAUUUUGCCGAAUUGUAUGUUCCCAAGCGCUUAGUACAGUGCUCUGCACACAAUAAGCACUCAGUAAAUACAAUUGAAUGAAUGAAUGAAUGAAUGAAUGAAUACGGGACAGGGACCGUGUCCAACCCGACUAUCUUGUAUUCAACGUGGCUCCUGCACAGUGGCUGGCACAUAGAAAACACUUAACAAUAACAUUAAAAACAAAACAAAAAAAAGAAGAGAGUGGAUGGGAGAGUGGGGACUGGGGAGGCCUCAGUGAAGAGCUUGUGUUCAUUCAUUGAUUGAUAAUUCAUUCUUAUUUACUGACUAUCCUCUUGGGUGCAAAGCACUGUACUAAGCUCUGGGAAAGAUCUGGUUGAGAAUAAGACCCCAUCCUCAUGGAGUAAGUGAAUUAAUUAAUUCAUUCUUAUUUAUUGACUAUCCUCCUGGGUGCAAAUCACUGUAUUAAACUCUGGGAAAGCCUUGGAUGAGAAUGAGACCCCAUCCUCAAGGAGUAAAGGUUGCAGGUGUGUAUAAUUAAGGCUGUUUUUCCAGAUCCUUUUAAUGAUAGGCAGGUGCAAAUCUUCUCCUAAAUAGCCUUCUGCCUCUUCCUUUUCUGAUUCUACAGCUCCACCCCCCAGAAACCCAGUCUCUCCAUUAGGUGUCCUACAAUGGGGCAAGUGGCAGUGCCCCUUUAAAGCCCCAGAGUCUUGUGUGCCUUUCUUUUUCUUCAGUCGGGUCAGUGGGCUGUACUUGCCAUAGGGUGUGGAGAGGAGAUGUAGUGUGUUUUUCUGGGGGUUUGGUGGUUAGCUUCUCUUUCAUUCAGCUGUGGUAGUUGAUGACUUGGUAGUUGAUGUAUUGGAUUAAGAGUCCCCCCAAAGUUGGCUUUCUUUGCCUACUUCUUAUACCAAUGGCCCUGGUGAUGCUGAGGGGGGCAGGGCAAAUGGUUUGGCUUUCAUGGGUCAGGAAUAUCUUGUCUUGAUGCUUUUGGUGGGCUACUUAAGGUUGUUCUAAUUGAUGUUGCCUAUAUUAGUGAUGGGGUGACUUGCGAGGGGAGUUGAUUUUACAUGGAUGAGUCAGAAAUGACUAAGGUGUUUAAGGUGGGGAUAUUGGUGACUUUAUUGUUUAUGGUGAUUGAGGGCAUUGAGGAAUGGGCUGGUCUCAAGUGUUUGAAUUUGAGGGGUGGGGAGGGAUACCCAAGUCUGGGAUGAUGAUAAUUACAAUAAUGAUAGUAUUUGUUAAGUGCUUAGUAUAUGCUAAGCGUUGUUCUAAGUGCUGGGGGUGAUACAAGGUAAUUAGGUUGGACACGAUCCUUGUCCCAUGUGUCUCAUUCUUAAUCCCCAUCUUUACAAAUGAGGUAAUGAGGGCACAGAGAGGUAAAGUGACUUGCCCCAAGAUCAUACAGAAGGCAAGUGGCAGAGUUCGGAUUAGAACCUAUGUCCUUCUGACUCCGAGAAUGAGUCCUACAUUAAUGA
RNAcentral lists this long non-coding RNA (2024 nucleotides) under Ornithorhynchus anatinus (platypus). RNAcentral describes it as "lncRNA (ENSOANG00000047950.1)". The record is from RNAcentral. Lineage: Eukaryota; Metazoa; Chordata; Mammalia; Monotremata; Ornithorhynchidae.